GCCUGGCUAACUCAAUUGGCAGAGUGUCAGACUCUUAUCAUCUUAAGUUUGAUCUGAAGAUUUCUUCAUUAUCUGAAAGCUGCGGGUUCGACCCCCGCGUCGGGCU
Molecule: transfer RNA, 106 nt
Filed under: Talaromyces rugulosus
Lineage: Eukaryota; Fungi; Ascomycota; Eurotiomycetes; Eurotiales; Trichocomaceae
Description: Penicillium rugulosum tRNA
Rfam family: tRNA
About the family: Transfer RNA (tRNA) molecules are approximately 80 nucleotides in length. Their secondary structure includes four short double-helical elements and three loops (D, anti-codon, and T loops).
Source: Rfam by way of RNAcentral